Molecule: ribosomal RNA, 536 nt
Filed under: Escherichia coli
Lineage: Bacteria; Pseudomonadati; Pseudomonadota; Gammaproteobacteria; Enterobacterales; Enterobacteriaceae
Description: partial 23S ribosomal RNA
Rfam family: Bacterial large subunit ribosomal RNA
Source: RNAcentral
GAUAAGGUUAAGUGAAUAAGGGCGCACGGUGGAUGCCUUGGCACUAGGAGCCGAUGAAGGACGGGACUAACACCGAUAUGCUUUGGGGAGCUGUAAGUAAGCUAUGAUCCAGAGAUUUCCGAAUGGGGGAACCCAAUAUCUUUUAUAGGAUAUUACUUUUCAGUGAAUACAUAGCUGAUUAGAGGUAGACGCAGAGAACUGAAACAUCUUAGUACCUGCAGGAAGAGAAAGAAAAUUCGAUUCCCUGAGUAGCGGCGAGCGAAACGGGAAGAGCCCAAACCAACAAGCUUGCUUGUUGGGGUUGUAGGACUCCAAUAUGGUAGUCUGUUAGUAUAGUUGAAGGAUUUGGAAAAUUCCGCUAAAGAGGGUGAAAGCCCCGUAGACGAAAUGCUAACAACACCUAGGAGGAUCCUGAGUACGGCGGAACACGAGAAAUUCCGUCGGAAUCCGCGGGGACCCUCCCGCAAGUAUAAAUACUCCCUAGUGCCCGAUAGUGAACCAGUACCGUGAGGGAAAGGUGCACCUCACCCCGGAAG